UGCAUUCUCUUGCGGUAGUUCUCUGACUCCACCUUUUCCACAUGAGAGGACUUCAGGGCAGCGGUGCGGUGCACGGUGCUGUACACAGCUCGAAACAACAUCCUGCAGAGGUGAACACACAAAAUCCAAAGUUCAAAGCAGGCCGCAGUGAAAUGGGACCAAGAAUGUGUGAGUUACUAUGGGGUGUAUGGUUAUGAGUUCAAUGUGUAUGUAUUAAUGUGUGUACCUGGGUAACAGAGCUGUGAAAGUAGUGACUGCACAUAUGAUGUAGAAGAGAGGCUGGGACAUCUGGAGUGUUUCGACCCCCAGAGGAUUAGUGGGGGGGCUGCAGGUCACACAGGACACACUGAAGAGCAGCACAAAGCCAAAGUAGGAGCCCCCACUGAGCAGCAGCACCAGACCGUGAAUCCAAGUCUGCAAAACAACACAGCGCAUCACCUCUCUGCACACCACGCGCUCCCAGCAGUUUGAAAAGCAGUGAUCUGAAACAGCGUUUAGUGCAACAGGGGGUCGGACCAGAGUGUGACUCUCGAGGACUUGGUGCAGCAGGAUGAUGAAGAGAGCGGAGGCGUUGAUCGGAGAGCCAAAGGACAGAAUCCCAACGUCUGACCCCGUCAGUGCCUGAGACAAAGGGGAGCACAGAAGAAGUAGAGGAUCAUGUUUGCCAGACGAGAGUAACACCAGUGACCGUGAACCAGAAGCAGCUUGCUGAGGUGUUUGAACCUGGAGAUGGCAAAGUCACUGGACAUCACAGCCUGGGGAGCGACACACAAAAGAGGACAUGGUUGAUACACAACAGGUGCUGAGAAGAUGGAAGGGUUAUCGACUGGUAGCUGCUGGUAGCUGCUACUGGCUCUGAGAUGGACUGUUUAUGAACCUGAUUGGUCAAACCAGAGGCGGAAAUCAGCUACAGAUUCUGAAUAUUCAAAAACAGAAUCCUCACCCACUGCCAGAGUCAUGACGCCAAGCUGGUCGCGGAUCAGCCGAACCACCUCGCUCUUCUGCAGCGGAGUGGACCUGCAGCAGAGGACCGCCUUGCAUCUGCUGCUCAGCUCUAAGAAGUCCCUCUUCAGCUCCUCCUGAAGCGCCCAGUCCAGUGUCUGGCCGUCUAUAACCAGGAUGAAGCUGGACACGCUGCCAGAGGAGGAUUCCCCAUGAGCCCCGGCUGCAGGAGCUUCGGUCAAACCGUCCUGUCCACACUGCACCUCUAGUUUGAGCUCCUUGAGAAAAG
Molecule: long non-coding RNA, 1231 nt
Organism: Pleuronectes platessa (European plaice)
Lineage: Eukaryota; Metazoa; Chordata; Actinopteri; Pleuronectiformes; Pleuronectidae
Exons: 3
Source: RefSeq, a predicted model, not a curated record